RNAcentral lists this ribosomal RNA (2898 nucleotides) under Klebsiella pneumoniae. Its description in RNAcentral is "23S ribosomal RNA". It matches the Rfam family "Bacterial large subunit ribosomal RNA". The record is from RNAcentral. Lineage: Bacteria; Pseudomonadati; Pseudomonadota; Gammaproteobacteria; Enterobacterales; Enterobacteriaceae.
UUAAGCGACUAAGCGUACACGGUGGAUGCCCUGGCAGUCAGAGGCGAUGAAGGACGUGCUAAUCUGCGAAAAGCGUCGGUAAGGUGAUAUGAACCGUUAUAACCGGCGAUGUCCGAAUGGGGAAACCCAGUGCAAUUCGUUGCACUAUCGUUAACUGAAUACAUAGGUUAACGAGGCGAACCGGGGGAACUGAAACAUCUAAGUACCCCGAGGAAAAGAAAUCAACCGAGAUUCCCCCAGUAGCGGCGAGCGAACGGGGAGCAGCCCAGAGUCUGAAUCAGCUUGUGUGUUAGUGGAACGGUCUGGAAAGUCCGACGGUACAGGGUGAUAGUCCCGUACACCAAAAUGCACAGGCUGUGAACUCGAAGAGUAGGGCGGGACACGUGGUAUCCUGUCUGAAUAUGGGGGGACCAUCCUCCAAGGCUAAAUACUCCUGACUGACCGAUAGUGAACCAGUACCGUGAGGGAAAGGCGAAAAGAACCCCGGCGAGGGGAGUGAAAAAGAACCUGAAACCGUGUACGUACAAGCAGUGGGAGCACCUUCGGGUGUGACUGCGUACCUUUUGUAUAAUGGGUCAGCGACUUAUAUUCUGUAGCAAGGUUAACCGUAUAGGGGAGCCGCAGGGAAACCGAGUCUUAACUGGGCGUUAAGUUGCAGGGUAUAGACCCGAAACCCGGUGAUCUAGCCAUGGGCAGGUUGAAGGUUGGGUAACACUAACUGGAGGACCGAACCGACUAAUGUUGAAAAAUUAGCGGAUGACUUGUGGCUGGGGGUGAAAGGCCAAUCAAACCGGGAGAUAGCUGGUUCUCCCCGAAAGCUAUUUAGGUAGCGCCUCGUGAAUUCAUCUUCGGGGUAGAGCACUGUUUCGGCUAGGGGGUCAUCCCGACUUACCAACCCGAUGCAAACUACGAAUACCGAAGAAUGUUAUCACGGGAGACACACGGCGGGUGCUAACGUCCGUCGUGAAGAGGGAAACAACCCAGACCGCCAGCUAAGGUCCCAAAGUCAUGGUUAAGUGGGAAACGAUGUGGGAAGGCACAGACAGCCAGGAUGUUGGCUUAGAAGCAGCCAUCAUUUAAAGAAAGCGUAAUAGCUCACUGGUCGAGUCGGCCUGCGCGGAAGAUGUAACGGGGCUAAACCAUGCACCGAAGCUGCGGCAGCGACACUAUGUGUUGUUGGGUAGGGGAGCGUUCUGUAAGCCUGCGAAGGUGACCUGUGAGGGUUGCUGGAGGUAUCAGAAGUGCGAAUGCUGACAUAAGUAACGAUAAAGCGGGUGAAAAGCCCGCUCGCCGGAAGACCAAGGGUUCCUGUCCAACGUUAAUCGGGGCAGGGUGAGUCGACCCCUAAGGCGAGGCCGAAAGGCGUAGUCGAUGGGAAACAGGUUAAUAUUCCUGUACUUGGUGUUACUGCGAAGGGGGGACGGAGAAGGCUAUGUUAGCCGGGCGACGGUUGUCCCGGUUUAAGCAUGUAGGCUGGUUGUCCAGGCAAAUCCGGAUAAUCAAGGCUGAGGUGUGAUGACGAGGCACUACGGUGCUGAAGUAACAAAUGCCCUGCUUCCAGGAAAAGCCUCUAAGCAUCAGGUAACAUCAAAUCGUACCCCAAACCGACACAGGUGGUCAGGUAGAGAAUACCAAGGCGCUUGAGAGAACUCGGGUGAAGGAACUAGGCAAAAUGGUGCCGUAACUUCGGGAGAAGGCACGCUGGUGUGUAGGUGAAGCCCCUGCGGGUGGAGCUGAGACCAGUCGAAGAUACCAGCUGGCUGCAACUGUUUAUUAAAAACACAGCACUGUGCAAACACGAAAGUGGACGUAUACGGUGUGACGCCUGCCCGGUGCCGGAAGGUUAAUUGAUGGGGUUAUCCGUAAGGAGAAGCUCUUGAUCGAAGCCCCGGUAAACGGCGGCCGUAACUAUAACGGUCCUAAGGUAGCGAAAUUCCUUGUCGGGUAAGUUCCGACCUGCACGAAUGGCGUAAUGAUGGCCAGGCUGUCUCCACCCGAGACUCAGUGAAAUUGAACUCGCUGUGAAGAUGCAGUGUACCCGCGGCAAGACGGAAAGACCCCGUGAACCUUUACUAUAGCUUGACACUGAACAUUGAGCCUUGAUGUGUAGGAUAGGUGGGAGGCUUUGAAGCGUGGACGCCAGUCUGCGUGGAGCCAACCUUGAAAUACCACCCUUUAAUGUUUGAUGUUCUAACGUUGGCCCCUGACCGGGGUUGCGGACAGUGUCUGGUGGGUAGUUUGACUGGGGCGGUCUCCUCCCAAAGCGUAACGGAGGAGCACGAAGGUUAGCUAAUCCUGGUCGGACAUCAGGAGGUUAGUGCAAUGGCAUAAGCUAGCUUGACUGCGAGCGUGACGGCGCGAGCAGGUGCGAAAGCAGGUCAUAGUGAUCCGGUGGUUCUGAAUGGAAGGGCCAUCGCUCAACGGAUAAAAGGUACUCCGGGGAUAACAGGCUGAUACCGCCCAAGAGUUCAUAUCGACGGCGGUGUUUGGCACCUCGAUGUCGGCUCAUCACAUCCUGGGGCUGAAGUAGGUCCCAAGGGUAUGGCUGUUCGCCAUUUAAAGUGGUACGCGAGCUGGGUUUAGAACGUCGUGAGACAGUUCGGUCCCUAUCUGCCGUGGGCGCUGGAGAAUUGAGGGGGGCUGCUCCUAGUACGAGAGGACCGGAGUGGACGCAUCACUGGUGUUCGGGUUGUCAUGCCAAUGGCACUGCCCGGUAGCUAAAUGCGGAAGAGAUAAGUGCUGAAAGCAUCUAAGCACGAAACUUGCCCCGAGAUGAGUUCUCCCUGAGACUUUAAGUCUCCUGAAGGAACGUUAAAGACGAUGACGUUGAUAGGCCGGGUGUGUAAGCGCAGCGAUGCGUUGAGCUAACCGGUACUAAUGAACCGUGAGGCUUAACCU